Molecule: non-coding RNA, 1543 nt
Organism: Rattus norvegicus (Norway rat)
Lineage: Eukaryota; Metazoa; Chordata; Mammalia; Rodentia; Muridae
Source: RefSeq, a predicted model, not a curated record
GUUUAAAGUCUUCAACCACCAUUUAUAUUUCUUGUUUUGAAAACUACAUUCUUAUCAGCCAGGCAGAGUGCUGGUUGGUCCCUCUUCCUGUUGGCUUCUGGUUGUGGGCUAAAACUGACCCUUCACUCAGGAUAUCUGGCUUAUUCUGGAUCAUUCAGCUGGAUCUAAAAUUGGAUCACAAGUGUUAAUCAUAAGAAAGAUGCAGCGAGCCCUGGGCAGCACCCCACGAGCGAACCUGAGCCUCGGGACCACAGGUGUGUGAUAUGGGCCUGCUUCAGAGUAUCCACAGCAGCUGACUAUGAUUUGCCUCGUGCUGGUUUUGACAGCUGCACAUUGUUUCUGGGAGCUUGUGAAGUUUGGAAUUCUGGGAAUUCUUCAGAGAAUAGUGGAACGGUUUAGGAUGUUGUGGAACCUUUCAUAGGUGAAGACUGGUUUGUGGAGCAACCAAGAACAAAUUCCUAGAUGAAGGCUAGAACCACAGACAACAUGUGUUCUCCCUGAUGAAACCGUGAACAGAAGGAAACCCUUCUUCCUCUAAGAGCCAAGAACUUGCCAAGAGGGCAGCGAGCCCCAGGAACACUCCCACUUCUCUCCCUGUCCCUGUCCCUGUCCCUGUCCCUGUCCCUGUCCCUGUCCCUGUCCCUGUCCCUGUCCCUGUCCCUGUCCCUCUCCCUCUCCCUCUCCCUCUCCCACUCCCCCUGCCACUCCCUCUCCCUCUCCCUCUCCCACUCCCCCUGCCACUUCCUCUUCCCCCCCCCCCUCUCUCCACAUAGUCAAGUGUGUGCUACCAUUCCCAGCAUUUUACACGACUCUUGACUUGAGUUCAGGUCCUCAUCCUCGCAAGGCCGUUCUUGCAUACUUUAUGGACCGAGCUGCUUCCUGGCCCUGUAUUGAAAUUUGGACAUUUAUUGAAAUUUAUGAAAAUUCAAAGAUUCUCUUCAGAAGUUCAACUUUUACAAUACAUCUUUCACUUUUUAUAGCAAUCAAGUACCUUUGUAAAUCUAUUUAUGAUCAUGUGUAGGCUAUACGGCAUCCCUUGAGACUUUCUUGUUAGGGAUAUAUGUGCAGUUUCGUAGAUUCCUGUGUUUCUGUAAGUUAGCUCUUACACAUGUUUUUUGAUUAGUCAUUCCUGAUGCAAUUGAACCUUUAAUGUUGUGUUGCACAGUGCCCUCCUGCUGGAUCUCUAUUAUGUCCAGACAAUUUUCGUUUGUGCCUUUGGAGUCUCGAGUUGGCUCUGGUAUGGCCCCAAACAGGGCAUCUUGUCCAUUGAGAUCUUUCAUAAUGGGAUUUUACGCUUCAUGUUACAAUGCACUGUCCAGGACAUUCUCUACAGCAUUAAACAGUAUUGGAGAUGCUUUCAUUUAUUCAUUUCAUUUAUUCAUUUUAAAAUAGUUUUAUGUGCAAAUAUGAAAUUGAUGCAGACAUUUAACAAGUGCUAAUUCAUAUCCCAAAUACUUUCUUCUGGUUUUGCCAUGCAAAGUGUUACGAAAUAAUGUGUAAAAAUCUACUGAUAUUAAAAUUCCCUUUUGCCUGUUAUAUAAAA